UGGUCAAGUUAUUAAGGGUGCAGGGCGGAUGCCUUGGCACUAGGAGCCGAUGAAGGACGUGAUAAGCUGCGAUAAGCUUCGGGGAGUUGCACGUAAACUUUGAUCCGAAGAUUUCCGAAUGAGGAAACUCACUUAGAGUAAUGUCUAAGUAUCAUUAAGUGAAUACAUAGCUUAAUGAGGGGAACUCAGGGAACUGAAACAUCUAAGUACCUGAAGGAAGAGAAAGAAAUUCGAUUCCGUAAGUAGCGGCGAGCGAACGCGGAUUAGCCCAAACCAAUAAAGUUUUCUUUAUUGGGGUUGCGGACAUAUCAUAACGAAGAGGUAUCGUAAUUGAAGAGGUUUGGAAAGACCCACCACAGAAGGUAAUAGUCCUGUAUGUUAAACGAGAAGACUUUAGAUAUGAUCCAGAGUACCACGGGACACGUGAAACCCUGUGGGAAGCAGGAGGGACCACCCUCCAAGGCUAAAUACUACCUAGUGACCGAUAGCGUAUAGUACCGUGAGGGAAAGGUGAAAAGAACCCCGGGAGGGGAGUGAAAUAGAACCUGAAACCCUGCACUUACAAGC
Molecule: ribosomal RNA, 567 nt
Filed under: Clostridioides difficile
Lineage: Bacteria; Bacillati; Bacillota; Clostridia; Peptostreptococcales; Peptostreptococcaceae
Description: bacterial LSU rRNA
Rfam family: Bacterial large subunit ribosomal RNA
Source: RNAcentral